RNAcentral lists this transfer RNA (60 nucleotides) under Rattus norvegicus (Norway rat). It matches the Rfam family "tRNA", at positions 7 to 64 of the family's 71-position model. From Rfam's summary of the family: Transfer RNA (tRNA) molecules are approximately 80 nucleotides in length. Their secondary structure includes four short double-helical elements and three loops (D, anti-codon, and T loops). Lineage: Eukaryota; Metazoa; Chordata; Mammalia; Rodentia; Muridae. The record is from Rfam by way of RNAcentral.
GUGGCUCAGUGGUUAAGAGCACUGGCUGCUCUGCCAGAAAACCUGGGUUCAAUUCCCAGC